Molecule: transfer RNA, 68 nt
Filed under: Heterotermes cf. paradoxus AUS88
Lineage: Eukaryota; Metazoa; Arthropoda; Insecta; Blattodea; Rhinotermitidae
Also listed under: 2 other names
Description: tRNA-Asn
Source: RNAcentral
UUAACUGAAACCAAAAAGAGGUAUAUUAUUGUUAAUAAUAUAAGUGAAUCAAAGCAAUUCCAGUUAAA